GUGUAGUUUUAUAGUAGAAUGUUUGCCUAUCAUGCACAAGGCCCUGGGUUUGAAUCCCAGCAC
Molecule: transfer RNA, 63 nt
Filed under: Fukomys damarensis (Damara mole-rat)
Lineage: Eukaryota; Metazoa; Chordata; Mammalia; Rodentia; Bathyergidae
Rfam family: tRNA
About the family: Transfer RNA (tRNA) molecules are approximately 80 nucleotides in length. Their secondary structure includes four short double-helical elements and three loops (D, anti-codon, and T loops).
Source: Rfam by way of RNAcentral